Molecule: ribosomal RNA, 699 nt
Filed under: Lelliottia sp.
Lineage: Bacteria; Pseudomonadati; Pseudomonadota; Gammaproteobacteria; Enterobacterales; Enterobacteriaceae
Description: bacterial SSU rRNA
Rfam family: Bacterial small subunit ribosomal RNA
Source: RNAcentral
CUAACACAUGCAAGUCGAACGGUAACAGGAAGCAGCUUGCUGCUUUGCUGACGAGUGGCGGACGGGUGAGUAAUGUCUGGGAAACUGCCUGAUGGAGGGGGAUAACUACUGGAAACGGUAGCUAAUACCGCAUAACGUCUUCGGACCAAAGAGGGGGACCUUCGGGCCUCUUGCCAUCAGAUGUGCCCAGAUGGGAUUAGCUAGUAGGUGGGGUAAUGGCUCACCUAGGCGACGAUCCCUAGCUGGUCUGAGAGGAUGACCAGCCACACUGGAACUGAGACACGGUCCAGACUCCUACGGGAGGCAGCAGUGGGGAAUAUUGCACAAUGGGCGCAAGCCUGAUGCAGCCAUGCCGCGUGUAUGAAGAAGGCCUUCGGGUUGUAAAGUACUUUCAGCGAGGAGGAAGGCAUUAAGGUUAAUAACCUUAGUGAUUGACGUUACUCGCAGAAGAAGCACCGGCUAACUCCGUGCCAGCAGCCGCGGUAAUACGGAGGGUGCAAGCGUUAAUCGGAAUUACUGGGCGUAAAGCGCACGCAGGCGGUCUGUCAAGUCGGAUGUGAAAUCCCCGGGCUCAACCUGGGAACUGCAUUCGAAACUGACAGGCUAGAGUCUUGUAGAGGGGGGUAGAAUUCCAGGUGUAGCGGUGAAAUGCGUAGAGAUCUGGAGGAAUACCGGUGGCGAAGGCGGCCCCCUGGACAA